AGCUGCAGAAGAAGCACCGGCUAACUCCGUGCCAGCAGCCGCGGUAAUACGGAGGGUGCGAGCGUUAAUCGGAAUUACUGGGCGUAAAGCGCAUGCAGGUGGUUUGUUAAGUCAGAUGUGAAAGCCCGGGGCUCAACCUCGGAAUUGCAUUUGAAACUGGCAAACUAGAGUACUGUAGAGGGGGUAGGAAUUUCAGGUGUAGCGGUGAAAUGCGUAGAGAUCUGAAGGAAUACCGGUGGCGAAGGCGGCCCCCUGGACAGAUACUGACACUCAGAUGCGAAAGCGUGGGGAGCAAACAGGAUUAGAUACCCUCGGUAG
RNAcentral lists this ribosomal RNA (318 nucleotides) under uncultured bacterium. RNAcentral's name for it is "bacterial SSU rRNA". It matches the Rfam family "Bacterial small subunit ribosomal RNA", at positions 477 to 793 of the family's 1533-position model. The record is from RNAcentral.